UUACGGCCAUACCACUUUGAAACACCUGUUCUCGUACGAUCCCCCGACGUUAAGCAACGUCUAGCCUGGUCAGUACCCAGAUGGGUGACCGCUUGGGAAUACUAAGUGCUGUAAG
Molecule: non-coding RNA, 115 nt
Organism: Acanthosepion pharaonis
Lineage: Eukaryota; Metazoa; Mollusca; Cephalopoda; Sepiida; Sepiidae
Source: the annotation of a GenBank genome assembly